UACGGAGGGGGCAAGCGUUGUUCGGAGUUACUGGGCGUAAAGGGCUCGCAGGCGGUUUCUUAAGUCUGAUGUGAAAGCCCCCGGCUCAACCGGGGAGGGUCAUUGGAAACUGGGAAACUUGAGUGCAGAAGAGGAGAGUGGAAUUCCACGUGUAGCGGUGAAAUGCGUAGAGAUGUGGAGGAACACCAGUGGCGAAGGCGACUCUCUGGUCUGUAACUGACGCUGAGGAGCGAAAGCGUGGGGAGCGAACAGG
RNAcentral lists this ribosomal RNA (253 nucleotides) under uncultured microorganism. RNAcentral describes it as "partial 16S ribosomal RNA". It matches the Rfam family "Bacterial small subunit ribosomal RNA", at positions 524 to 776 of the family's 1533-position model. The record is from RNAcentral.